This 504-nucleotide ribosomal RNA is filed under the name uncultured bacterium. RNAcentral describes it as "partial 16S ribosomal RNA". It matches the Rfam family "Bacterial small subunit ribosomal RNA", at positions 28 to 506 of the family's 1533-position model. The record is from RNAcentral.
GACGAACGCUGGCGGCGUGCCUAAUACAUGCAAGUAGAACGCACAGUUUAUACCGUAGCCUGCUACACCAUAGACUGUGAGUUGCGAACGGGUGAGUAACGCGUAGGUAACCUGCCUGGUAGCGGGGGAUAACUAUUGGAAACGAUAGCUAAUACCGCAUAAUAUUAAUUAUUGCAUGAUAAUUAAUUGAAAGGUGCAAUUGCACCACUACCAGAUGGACCUGCGUUGUAUUAGCUAGUAGGUGAGGUAACGGCUCACCUAGGCGACGAUACAUAGCCGACCUGAGAGGGUGAUCGGCCACACUGGGACUGAGACACGGCCCAGACUCCUACGGGAGGCAGCAGUAGGGAAUCUUCGGCAAUGGACGAAAGUCUGACCGAGCAACGCCGCGUGAGUGAAGAAGGUUUUCGGAUCGUAAAGCUCUGUUGUAAGAGAAGAACGGGUGUGAGAGUGGAAAGUUCACACUGUGACGGUAUCUUACCAGAAAGGGACGGCUAACUACGU